Cimex lectularius (bed bug) is the source of this 1485-nucleotide long non-coding RNA. RefSeq lists it as uncharacterized. NCBI's taxonomy places the organism in Eukaryota, Metazoa, Arthropoda, Insecta, Hemiptera, Cimicidae. The record is from RefSeq and is a predicted model, not a curated record. The transcript has 2 exons.
UAUGCAAAAAUACAAAAAUUAAAAAUAUAAGUGAAUAUUACAUAAAAAUUCAAUUUUGUUAAACACUAAAAGCAAAAUCUAAUGAACUGCAAAAUAGGAAAAACACCUUCAAUUGAAUAAAAUGAAAACCCUGGACACUUGAAAAUUACAUUAUAGAUACAUAAAUAAAUAAGAAGGAAGAUUUUUAUUAAUUUUUUUUUAAUACCGUAUAUAUAUUACAAUACCUUAUGUAAUAUUUAGAAAUCACUUUUACACAGUAAAUGCCUUGAGGUAGAAUGGGAAUUAACCUUUGUAGCUCUACCAAGUUUACUCAAGGAAGUUGGCAAGGAUACCCGGGGCCAUCUACGCUUUAGUCGUAUGACAGGAAUAUAGAGAGGCUAAUGAAUUGGGAUAAGUGGAUAGUUUUUCAAGGAACCUGGAAAGUUUGGUGGCAUUUUAUUUGCAAAGGGUAUUUUGAGACCGUUGUGGAGGGUGACAUCAGAGACAUAGACGGGGAGAAUGGAAGGAUUGGAAGGACUGAAUUCGUUGGAUAUUGGUCAAACAUGAUUCCAGAUAGAACCUAGGUAGCGUCGGUUUUUAGGGAUAAGAAUGUUGUUGAAGAAUAUUGCAUGAGGGGUUUUGCUUCAGAGGUGUAAUAUUCUGACUGAACCAACACCAGGAAAAAGACACCGACUUGGACCCCAGUCCCCACUAUACACCGCAUCAAGAUAACUGACCGAAUUGGGCCUGUUAGGACUGUGCCUUCCUGAGGGUUAACUCAGUACACAUUCACUUUGGACAGCUUAUUCUCACAGUUUUGGUCAGACCCAGCACUCAAGCACUGUAAACUGCAAAACAGCAUCUUCAUACAAAUAUUUAUGCAUGAAAUGGUGCUUGCAAUCCUUAUCUUCCAAUGUAGGAUUUGUCUGAACUUUCUAUAGUGAUACACGCAGGUUCUUUCUUAUGACAAGCCAUUUCAUAAAGGCCGCCCAAAGCGGCAUGAACAAUCAAUAAGGCAGGGACGUUCCAACGAUUGAGGAGGCAAAAGAGCAAGACGGCAAAGGGCUAAGGCGGAGCCACGCUGGGUCAGAGAGUUGCUGUUCAGUCACUUUAAGCUUUUAAAAAAAAAAGACAAAGUAAAAAUGCUUGUGAAGAAUUAUUGUAGGGUGGUGCUCAUUCAACAAGGUUCUUUGCUCUAUACUUUAAUCUUGUCCAGUGAAAAGGAUACCGAAAAAUAACUUCAUAUUUAAUUAUAUAAACUAAAUUUUUGUGAUAAGAAAAUAUUCUCUUUCCUCCUUAGUUUCGUUAUAAUAAGUUCUUUAUAAUCAAGUUGUAAUUGAUAACAUUUUAUUGAUUCUAUUAUUUGUUUGUAAUAUAAGAACUUUUUUUAUGUUAAAUAGAUAUUAACUUAUCUUUCCCCAACGUCAUAAAUGCGCUCCCACAACGUUAUAAACACUGGUAGCUGAGCAAAAACUUGUUCUUUGAUUUAAAAAAAAAAAAAAACAC